Molecule: ribosomal RNA, 499 nt
Filed under: uncultured Gemella sp.
Lineage: Bacteria; Bacillati; Bacillota; Bacilli; Caryophanales; Gemellaceae
Description: bacterial SSU rRNA
Rfam family: Bacterial small subunit ribosomal RNA
Source: RNAcentral
CGAGACGACGCUGGCGGCGUGCCUAAUACAUGCAAGUCGAGCGAAGUUUUUCUGGUGCUUGCACUAGAAAACUUAGCGGCGAACGGGUGAGUAACACGUAAAGAACCUGCCUCAUAGACUGGGACAACUAUUGGAAACGAUAGCUAAUACCGGAUAACAGUAUUUCUCGCAUGAAAGAUCUUAAAAGUUGGUUAUGCUAACACUAUGAGAUGGCUUUGCGGUGCAUUAGCUAGUUGGUGGGGUAAAGGCCUACCAAGGCGACGAUGCAUAGCCGACCUGAGAGGGUGAUCGGCCACACUGGGACUGAGACACGGCCCAGACUCCUACGGGAGGCAGCAGUAGGGAAUCUUCCGCAAUGGGCGAAAGCCUGACGGAGCAACGCCGCGUGAGCGAAGAAGGAUUUCGGUUCGUAAAGCUCUGUUGUUAGGGAAGAAUGGAUAUGUAGUAACUAUACAUAUAAGAGACGGUACCUAACCAGAAAGCCACGGCUAACUACGUG